Molecule: unclassified non-coding RNA, 312 nt
Filed under: uncultured fungus
Lineage: Eukaryota; Fungi
Description: sequence contains ITS1, 5.8S rRNA gene
Rfam family: 5.8S ribosomal RNA (bases 264-312)
Source: RNAcentral
UUUCCGUAGGUGAACCUGCGGAAGGAUCAUUAUUGAGUUUUUGGUUUGUUAGUGUUACUAGCGUAACCAUAAAAACUUCAUCCUAUGUUUACAUACUUUGUAUACUUUGGCAAGACGCUUUGACUUGUAGUUGGAGUUUGACACUAGUUGAGCAACGCCACAAGAAAAAGCCACUGACGUCAUUUACUUGACAGUGAGUGUGUUUGCUUGCCAAAGGUUUCAACUCUUUUAUUUGCAGUCUGAGUAAACAAAAAAUAAAUUAAAACUUUCAACAACGGAUCUCUUGGUUCUGGCAUCGAUGAAGAACGCAGC